AUUGAACGCUGGCGGCAUGCCUUACACAUGCAAGUCGAACGGCAGCACGGGUGCUUGCACCUGGUGGCGAGUGGCGAACGGGUGAGUAAUACAUCGGAACAUGUCCUGUAGUGGGGGAUAGCCCGGCGAAAGCCGGAUUAAUACCGCAUACGAUCUACGGAUGAAAGCGGGGGACCUUCGGGCCUCGCGCUAUCGGGUUGGCCGAUGGCUGAUUAGCUAGUUGGUGGGGUAAAGGCCUACCAAGGCGACGAUCUGUAGCUGGUCUGAGAGGACGACCAGCCACACUGGGACUGAGACACGGCCCAGACUCCUACGGGAGGCAGCAGUGGGGAAUUUUGGACAAUGGGCGAAAGCCUGAUCCAGCAAUGCCGCGUGUGUGAAGAAGGCCUUCGGGUUGUAAAGCACUUUUGUCCGGAAAGAAAUCCUUGGCCCUAAUACGGUCGGGGGAUGACGGUACCGGAAGAAUAAGCACCGGCUAACUACGUG
RNAcentral lists this ribosomal RNA (486 nucleotides) under uncultured bacterium. Its description in RNAcentral is "partial 16S ribosomal RNA". It matches the Rfam family "Bacterial small subunit ribosomal RNA", at positions 30 to 507 of the family's 1533-position model. The record is from RNAcentral.